Molecule: unclassified non-coding RNA, 354 nt
Filed under: soil metagenome
Description: partial contains 5.8S ribosomal RNA, internal transcribed spacer 2, and large subunit ribosomal RNA
Rfam family: 5.8S ribosomal RNA (bases 1-119)
Source: RNAcentral
GAUGAAGAACGCAGCGAAAUGCGAUAAGUAAUGCGAAUUGCAGAAUCCAUGAGUCAUCGAAUCUUUGAACGCACAUUGCGCCCUUUGGUAUUCCGAAGGGCAUGCCUGUUCGAGCGUCAUUAUCACCACUCAAGCCCGGCUUGCUGUUGGUGGCAGCGCAGCCGGUCAACCGGCUACGCUCCACCCAAAGAUAAUGACGGCGUCUGCGAGGACUCCUGUACAUUGAGCUUUCGGGCACGUACAUGGCUAGAAGUCCAGGCGCCGGUCGACGUCCUCCGGGACACUUUUUACCAAGGUUGACCUCGGAUCAGGUAGGGAUACCCGCUGAACUUAAGCAUAUCAAUAAGCGGAGGA